Molecule: ribosomal RNA, 252 nt
Filed under: uncultured bacterium
Lineage: Bacteria
Description: partial 16S ribosomal RNA
Rfam family: Bacterial small subunit ribosomal RNA
Source: RNAcentral
UACGUAGGGGGCAAGCGUUAUCCGGAUUUAUUGGGCGUAAAGCGUGUGUAGGCGGUUUAUUAAGUCUAAGAUCAAAGCCCGAGGCUUAACCUCGGUUCGUUUUAGAAACUGGUAGACUUGAGUGUGGUAGAGGCAAGUGGAAUUUCUAGUGUAGCGGUUAAAUGCGUAGAUAUUAGAAGGAACACCAGUGGCGAAGGCGGCUUGCUGGGCCAUUACUGACGCUGAGACACGAAAGCGUGGGGAGCAAAUAGG